Molecule: ribosomal RNA, 466 nt
Filed under: uncultured bacterium
Lineage: Bacteria
Description: partial 16S ribosomal RNA
Rfam family: Bacterial small subunit ribosomal RNA
Source: RNAcentral
GAUGAACGCUGGCGGCGUGCUUAACACAUGCAAGUCGAACGAUCAAGCCCAGCUUGCUGGGUGGAUUAGUGGCGAACGGGUGAGUAACACGUGCGUAACCUGCCCUUAUCUCUGGGUUAAGCCUGGUCAACUGGGUCUAAUACCGGCUAGAAGAUCUAUUCGACCGGUUGGUGCUGUAAAGAUUUAUCGGUUUUGGAUGGAUUCUCGGCUUAUCCGCUUGUUGGUGAGGUAAUGGCUCACUAAGGCGGAGACGGGUAGACGGCCUGAGAGGGGCACCGGCCACACUAGGACUGAGACACGGCGCAGUCUCCUACGGGACGCAGCAGUGGGGAAUAUUGCACAAUGGGCGAAAGCCUGAUGCAGCGACGCCGCGUGAGGGAUGACGGCCUUCGGGGUGUAAACCACUUUCAGUGGGGAAGAAGCGAAAGUGACGGUACCUGCAGAGGAAGCACCGGCUAACUACGUG